UAUCCCUACCUCUGAGACAGGCGGCCCAAGUCCAAGUUAAACCUGCUCCAGGGGUGUGCAAUAGAAUCUCUGAACAAGUUGGCUCGAAAAUGUCUGGACCACUUGAGGUCCUCUCCAUUCUACAGUUUCUCCGCAAUCUCUACCUAGCCUUUGUCCUGGAGAGGAUGAUCACAACAAGCCAAAUGGGCAGGAAGCAAAUCAAGGUCUUCACUAAGAAAAGCUGGGAGAAUGCUCCUCGAGUCAGUGCCUGUGGUCACCCAGCAGGGAAAAUGAUUUAAGUGGCAGAUGGUCGUGACCUAUUUAUUCCAUCCUGCAAAAGGAAAUGCUUCGGUUAUAGACAGUGAUUAAUUUACCCUCCUGGGCGAG
This is a long non-coding RNA of Chiloscyllium plagiosum (whitespotted bambooshark), 366 nucleotides long. RefSeq lists it as uncharacterized. NCBI's taxonomy places the organism in Eukaryota, Metazoa, Chordata, Chondrichthyes, Orectolobiformes, Hemiscylliidae. The record is from RefSeq and is a predicted model, not a curated record.